UCCAGCUUAUCGCCGGCAGUCUCCGUAGGGUGCCCACCAUGACGUGAUGGCAACUACGGACAAAGGUUGCGCUCGUUGCGGGACUUAACCCAACACUUCACAGCACGAGCUGACGACAGCCAUGCAGCACCUGUGGAAAGGUCUCUUGCGAGAAGACUGGCUUUCACCAGCUGUCCUAACCAUGUCAAGCCUGGGUAAGGUUCUUCGCGUAGCCUCGAAUUAAACCACAUGCUCCACCGCUUGUGCGGGUCCCCGUCAAUUUCUUUGAGUUUCAGUCUUGCGACCGUACUCCCCAGGUGGUGGAUUUAAUGAGUUAUCGUCGGCAUCGAGGGGAUCAACACCCCCGACACCUAAUCCACAUCGUUUACGGCAAGGACUAC
RNAcentral lists this unclassified non-coding RNA (380 nucleotides) under uncultured bacterium. Its description in RNAcentral is "contains 16S-23S intergenic spacer region". The record is from RNAcentral.